AUAGACACACGCACGUUCCUCCGCGCCGUCCGCACCCGCCUGACGACUGCUCGCUACGUUUUGUUAGCC
RNAcentral lists this small RNA (69 nucleotides) under Xanthomonas fragariae. Its description in RNAcentral is "sX9 sRNA". It matches the Rfam family "Xanthomonas sRNA sX9". The record is from RNAcentral. Lineage: Bacteria; Pseudomonadati; Pseudomonadota; Gammaproteobacteria; Lysobacterales; Lysobacteraceae.